UCGAGGACGAACGCUGGCAGCGUGCCUAACACAUGCAAGUCGAGCGAGGAGAUUCCUUCGGGAUGAUCCUAGCGGCGGACGGGUGAGUAACACGUGGGCAACCUGCCUCAUAGAGAGGAAUAGCCUUCCGAAAGGGAGAUUUAAUACCUCAUAACAUUGCAGUUUCGCAUGGAACAGCAAUUAAAGGAGUAAUCCGCUACGAGAUGGGCCCGCGGCGCAUUAGCUAGUUGGUGAGGUAACGGCUCACCAAGGCGACGAUGCGUAGCCGACCUGAGAGGGUGAUCGGCCACAUUGGGACUGAGACACGGCCCAGACUCCUACGGGAGGCAGCAGUGGGGAAUAUUGCACAAUGGGGGAAACCCUGAUGCCAGCAACGCCGCGUGAGUGAUGACGGCCUUCGGGUUGUAAAGCUCUGUCUUCAGGGACGAUAAUGACGGUACCUGAGGAGGAAGCCACGGCUAACUACGUGCCAGCCGCCGC
Molecule: ribosomal RNA, 480 nt
Filed under: uncultured bacterium
Lineage: Bacteria
Description: bacterial SSU rRNA
Rfam family: Bacterial small subunit ribosomal RNA
Source: RNAcentral